CUAACACAUGCAAGUCGAACGGUAACAGUCCUUCGGGAGCUGACGAGUGGCGCACGGGUGAGUAACGCGUGGAUAUCUGCCUAUUAGUGGGGGACAACUACAGGAAACUGUAGCUAAUACCGCAUAAUCUCUACGGAGGAAAGCAGGGGACCUUUCGGGGCCUUGCGCUGAUAGAUGAGUCCGCGUCUGAUUAGCUAGUUGGUAAGGUAAUGGCUUACCAAGGCGAUGAUCAGUAACUGGUUUGAGAGGAUGAUCAGUCACACUGGAACUGAGACACGGUCCAGACUCCUACGGGAGGCAGCAGUGGGGAAUAUUGCACAAUGGGGGGAACCCUGAUGCAGCGACGCCGCGUGCGGGAAGAAGGCCUUCGGGUUGUAAACCGCUUUCAAUUGGGAAGAAGAGAUGAGCACUAAUAUUGCUCUGAUUUGACGGUACCUUUAGAAGAAGCACCGGCUAAUUUCGUGCCAGCAGCCGCGGUAAUACGAAAGGUGCAAGCGUUGUUCGGAUUUACUGGGCGUAAAGAGAUCGUAGGUGGUUUGUUAAGUCGGAUGUGAAAUCCCAGGGCUCAACCCUGGAACUGCAUCCGAUACUGGCAGGCUAGAGUUUGGGAGGGGUAAGCGGAAUUCCGUGUGUAGCAGUGAAAUGCGUAGAUAUACGGAGGAACACCUGAGGCGAAGGCGGCUUACUGGACCAAUACUGACACUGAGGAUCGAAAGCGUGGGUAGCAAACAGGAUUAGAUACCCUGGUAGUCCACGCCCUAAACGAUGUCAACUAGCCGUUGCGGGUAUCGACCCCUGCAGUGGCGAAGCUAACGCGAUAAGUUGACCGCCUGGGGAGUACG
RNAcentral lists this ribosomal RNA (842 nucleotides) under uncultured bacterium. RNAcentral describes it as "bacterial SSU rRNA". It matches the Rfam family "Bacterial small subunit ribosomal RNA", at positions 48 to 884 of the family's 1533-position model. The record is from RNAcentral.